RNAcentral lists this long non-coding RNA (1351 nucleotides) under Dasypus novemcinctus (nine-banded armadillo). RNAcentral's name for it is "lncRNA (ENSDNOG00000051630.1)". The record is from RNAcentral. Lineage: Eukaryota; Metazoa; Chordata; Mammalia; Cingulata; Dasypodidae.
AUGGGGACCUCCUAUUUUUUUAAUGUAACAUUAAAAAAAAUAAAGACCAAAAAAAAAAGAAAACGGAACCAAGAGCCCUUUCAUCAGAAAACUUAAGUUUCUCUUCGGCAUAGUCUGUAUGGUAGCAGCUCCCCAACUUUUGCACUUCUAAUAAUUCCUCUGGGACAUCUGUUAAAAUAUAGAUUGCUAGGUCCCCACCCUGAAUCUACCAGCAGAAUCAGCGGGGCCCAGGCAUGUGCACUUAACUCACAUCCCAGGCAAUUCUGGUGGUGGCCCCUGGGCAGGCGAUGGUAGUUUGCCCAGGCCAGUCCCGGCUUACAUCUGUUGUCCCAGAAUUAACAGUGUUCCUUUUCACUUUCAGAAGUGUCCUGGUUUGGACAUAUUAUAUGGUCCCCUUUCUCCUAUCCACAGACCAUAUUUUGGAAAAACAAAACAAAACUGCUAUGGGUUUAUGGUUAAGCAGCUCCUUUAUUUUGCCCACAGGGUGUUAAAGAAAAAGUGAGCCCAACACCCUCUGCUACAGAACAUCUAAAUAACCUAUUUUUCCUUCAAUCAACCCUAAGAAUUUAAGUAAGCCUCCUUGCCCAUCUCUAACAACUCGCAAAAAUGCUUGGUGCUGUUGACUUCCUGAAUUUCAGAAGCUGAGAGUGUAGAAGAUAGAAGCUUGUGGUUGUGAGUGACGAAAAUACAGACCCGAGGCCGGGAAAACAGCACACGGACUCAGAGCGAAUCACGACUACCGUUUUAUUGUUCUGGUUAUGGUGGUACAGAUUGUUCACGUGCUCCAGGAACAGGUUGUACGACAGAGACCACACACUGCUCUGCCAACUUACAGGAAACAGUAUGAGGGCUACACACUUCUCAAGUCAUGCUCUUCCGACAAGCACAGCAGAAAAAGACUUCUCCGUGGAAGAGUGGAGUGACAAAUUACCCCAAACCAAAGUCACCGUUCACUUGUGACAGUGUGUACCAGCCAGGCCAAAGGGAUAGCACAGAACACAAGCGGGCCGGGAUCACUCUACAACCACAAGGCAGCGCACCAGCACUGGACACAGCCGACAUUUCUCACGCUGUCAUGUUGCCCAGGGACCGACUCAAGCACAGCCCCAGGUCUGAGAGCGUGGCAUCCAGUUCCAGCACAGUGCCGCAUGAGGAGAGGGAAGGUAAGAGCCACCAUGAGCACAAUGGAAAUGGAGGCAGCGAUUUAACUGGAUUCGUCCAACUGAGAAAAAGGCAAUUUAAAUUUUUAAAAUACUCAGUGCUUAAUAUAUAUAUAUUUUUUUUAGGCAAAUCUUGCCUUGGCUGGCCACUCAAAGUCAAAAAGCAUUUAGUUUGGUUCAGACUUUUUUAA